This 899-nucleotide ribosomal RNA is filed under the name uncultured archaeon. RNAcentral describes it as "bacterial SSU rRNA". It matches the Rfam family "Archaeal small subunit ribosomal RNA", at positions 1 to 878 of the family's 1478-position model. The record is from RNAcentral.
CUCCGGUUGAUCCUGCCGGACCCGACUGCUAUCGGAUUGAGAUUUAGCCAUGCGAGUCGAACGUCUCCCUGUUGCGGGGGGCGUGGCGUACGGCUCAGUAACACGUAGUCAACCUGCCCUGGAGACAAGGACAACCCCGGGAAACUGGGAUUAAUCCUUGAUAGGUCAUCUCAUCUGGAAGGAGAGAUGGCUUAAAGGGGUACGCGGGCUUCUUCCGCGAAUUCGCUCCAGGAUGGGACUGCGUCCGAUCAGGCUGUUGGCGGGGUAAUGGCCCACCAAACCUGUAACCGGUACGGGCCUUGAGAGAGGUGGCCCGGAGAUGGACACUGAGAGAAGGGUCCAGGUCCUACGGGGCGCAGCAGGCGCGAAACCUUCGCAAUGCGCGAAAGCGUGACGAGGUUAAUCCGAGUGACUCCCGCUUAGGGGGUCUUUUGUCAGCUGUAAAUAGGCAGGCGAAUAAGGGGAGGGCAAGCCUGGUGUCAGCCGCCGCGGUAAUACCAGCUCCUCGAGUGGUCGGGGCGAUUAUUGGGCCUAAAGCAUCCGUAGCCGGUUCCGUAGGUCCUCUGUUAAAUCCAACCGCUUAACGGUUGACCUGCAGAGGAUACCGCGGGACUAGGAGGCGGGAGAGGCGGACGGUACUCCGCGUGUAGGGGUAAAAUCCUUUGAUCCGCGGAAGACCACCAGUGGCGAAGGCGGUCCGCCAGAACGCGCUCGACGGUGAGGGAUGAAAGCUGGGGGAGCGAACCGGAUUAGAUACCCGGGUAGUCCCAGCCGUAAACGAUGCUAGCUAGAUGAUUCAUUCGCAAGUCGCGAAUGAAGUGUCGCAGGGAAGCCGUUAAGCUAGCCGCCUGGGGAGUACGGUCGCAAGACUGAAACUUAAAGGAAUUGGCGGGGGAGCA